RNAcentral lists this ribosomal RNA (315 nucleotides) under uncultured Bacteroidales bacterium. RNAcentral describes it as "bacterial SSU rRNA". It matches the Rfam family "Bacterial small subunit ribosomal RNA", at positions 28 to 339 of the family's 1533-position model. Lineage: Bacteria; Pseudomonadati; Bacteroidota; Bacteroidia; Bacteroidales. The record is from RNAcentral.
GAUGAACGCUAGCGGCAGGCUUAACACAUGCAAGUCGAGGGGCAUCGCGGGGUAGCAAUACUCUGGCGGCGACCGGCGAAAGGGUGAGUAACGCGUGAGCAACAUACCCGGCACUGGGGGAUAGUCAUUGGAAACGAUGCGUAAUACCCCGUAACACAAGGAGCGGCAUCGCUUUUUGUUAAGAGAUUUAUCGAUGUCGGAUUGGCUCGCGUACCAUUAGCUAGUUGGCGGGGUAACGGCCCACCAAGGCGACGAUGGUUAGGGGUUCUGAGAGGAAGGUCCCCCACAUUGGAACUGAGACACGGUCCAGACUCC